GUUCAUGUGUGAGUGAGUGAUUGACAUGCAAAACGCAAUUCGCUCUUCCUCUUGAUCGUGCCAGUGUUGCUCUACUACUUUGAAGUAAAAAUGCAAAAUAAUUAAGUUGCCAAUUCGCGUGCUUUAUUUUUCCACUAAAUAUUCAAUAGAAAUUGUGAAAAGUUCUGGUGCAACAAUAAAAACAACAACAACAAUAAGAACAACAGUGUCCAUGGCCGCGUUUGCAACCCCUUUAUGCUAGAAUUACGCUGACCAUGCGAAAAGAGGGAAACGUCGCAGUUUGCAUUUCUCGUUUACAAUUUGCAUGGUGAAAGGAUUACGAACCGGUUUCGCAGUCCAAUGCGCCCAUUCCGCUCGUGGCACACAAAACAGCUUAACCGCCUGCCUGUGCCUGGUCAGUCGUCGGGGUUAGCACUGAUUUACAUUUGAGGGUGGCAGCCAAACACACUCAUCAGUCGCGUCUACAAUUACACACACACACAUACAGACACAGAGUAAGAGACAAAAUGCAGUUGCGUCCACACUUUAGCGUAAUGGCCAAGCAUUAGGGCGACACUUGAGUUUGUGUUGCAUGUCAAAGUCAGAGCAUCGUCUACUAGCUUGCCACUCCCCCUCCACCCGCUCUUAUGCAAAUGCAAACAAAGCGACCGCCGAGACGCAAGAAGUCACGUGCUCACAAACACCACCAAACACACAACUCCGACGUCACUAAUAAGCGGCAAAUAAUUGGCAGACGAACUUGAGACUACCCCAAUGGCUCAAAGGCGGCCAGGGGAAGUCGAUGUUGCCGAUGCCGCCGUCCUGGCAACCUGGCAUGGACACUAAAAAUCGAUAUGCCACCCCAAAAUGUGAAGCAUUCCCUGCUCUGCAGGUUGUCGAUCCUUUGCCUCGUCACUGGAAUGAAAAUGUUUGUUUUGCCUGCAACAUGAAUGGAAUGGCUAGCCAGCAACUAGCAAAAAGAGAGUGCGCGCCUGCUCCUCUGCACCUUCUCCUUCUACUGCUCCCAAUUGCACGGCUGCAUUUGAUGUCUGCAUUUUGUGGCAGAACUUUACUUUAACCCAAAGAGUGGCAAUUAGAAUUUCCGGCUAUAAAAUUGUGGAAACUAUACAGAAAAUGGAGAACAACGAAAAAAGCGUUAGCCCAUAACCAUGUCAGCUCUCUAUUGUCCAGCUGUCCAACUGUCUGCGAUUAGAGCACAUUACUCUCACAACGAACAUUUGAAUGUCAAGGGAAAGCAUAAAGCACGCCCGAAAAAAUGCAAUCAUGAGCCGCUCCAGUUAAUGGCCAGCAAAUGAUCAUUAUGCGGACAGCACAACAGAAAGA
Molecule: long non-coding RNA, 1323 nt
Organism: Drosophila sulfurigaster albostrigata
Lineage: Eukaryota; Metazoa; Arthropoda; Insecta; Diptera; Drosophilidae
Exons: 2
Source: RefSeq, a predicted model, not a curated record